GGAUGUUAAGGCUCAUAUCUUUAAUUUGAAGUUGGAAUUAGUGAGUCAUUAUGUUCCAAAAAAGUAGUUCAUUAUGAUUUUCAGUAGUGAUAAGGCAAAUGGGAUGUCAUUUGAGCUGGUGAAUUCAGAAGAAUAGGAGGAAGAUAUUGUGGAGAUAUUGUGGAGAUAUUGUUUCAACUCUUGAGGAGGUGCCAAAAACUUACCAAGUUACCAUAAAGAUAAUUAAACUAAAUAAAUUAUAUACAUGUGUCAUUUAUUCUAACAAACACCUAAAGGUCUUAAACAAUUAUAAACUAAAAAAUUAUCUCUAAUAUGCUAAUUUAUUUUAUAAUAUACCAUGUAUUUAAUUAAAUUUAAUUUACAUGCCAAACAUAGAUAAAAAUACAAAUAAAAUUAAUUUUGGUAUUUAUUGAAUAAAUUACUAUAUUAAAUACAAAAUUGUCAUUUCAAAAAAGUUUAAGGAAUACUUAUCUUUUAAUUAUUGUAGUUGCUAUUAGGGCAAACCACCAUUAAAGAAGAGUCUUCUCUUUUAGUAUAACAAGUUAAUCCUGUUUUACUCUCGUAAGCUCUACGCAAUUACCCUUUGGUACUUACCUUAAGGCUACU
This 606-nucleotide unclassified non-coding RNA is filed under the name Hevea brasiliensis (rubber tree). The record is from RNAcentral. Lineage: Eukaryota; Viridiplantae; Streptophyta; Magnoliopsida; Malpighiales; Euphorbiaceae.